Molecule: long non-coding RNA, 404 nt
Organism: Rhipicephalus sanguineus (brown dog tick)
Lineage: Eukaryota; Metazoa; Arthropoda; Arachnida; Ixodida; Ixodidae
Exons: 3
Source: RefSeq, a predicted model, not a curated record
CCGCAAUCGUGGUUACCAGCUUCCUGACUUCCAGCACGGAAAGAAAUCAAGCUCUGAUGCAAGCAUCGUCGCCCCAACUAUCUGCGCAUGGCCUUUUUCUACGAUGACGUCACUACCAGCACAGGACUUAAGCUUACCUGGCUUCGCUCCUGGUGCUGCAGCCAUCGCUGCAAGCUUCGCCGUGUUCCACGCGAGCAUGGCGGUUUCCGCCCCGCAAUCGUGGUUACCAGCUUCCUGACUUCCAGCACGGAAAGAAAUCAAGCUCUGAUGCAAGCAUCGUCGCCCCAACUAUCUGCGCAUGGCCUUUUUCUACGAUGACGUCACUACCAGCACAGGACUUAAGCUUACCUGGCUUCGCUCCUGGUGCUGCAGCCAUCGCUGCAAGCUUCGCCGUGUUCCACGCG